CAGCCGUAAACAAUGUGCGUUAGGUGUGUCGGUAACCACGCGUUACUGAUGCGCCGAAGAGAAAUCGUGAAACGCACCACCUGGGAGGUACGGUCGCAAGGCUGAAACUUAAAGGAAUUGGCGGGGGAGCACCACAACAGGUGGAGCCUGCGGUUUAAUUGGAUUCAACGCCGGACAUCUCACCGGAUAAGACAGCUGAAUGAUUGUCAAUCUGAAGGUUUUACAUGACUAGCUGAGAGGUGGUGCAUGGGCGUCAGUGACU
Molecule: ribosomal RNA, 262 nt
Filed under: uncultured archaeon
Lineage: Archaea
Description: partial 16S ribosomal RNA
Rfam family: Archaeal small subunit ribosomal RNA
Source: RNAcentral